This 740-nucleotide ribosomal RNA is filed under the name uncultured bacterium. Its description in RNAcentral is "bacterial SSU rRNA". It matches the Rfam family "Bacterial small subunit ribosomal RNA", at positions 8 to 796 of the family's 1533-position model. The record is from RNAcentral.
AGAGUUUGAUCAUGGCUCAGAGCGAACGCUGGCGGCAGGCUUAACACAUGCAAGUCGAGCGCCCCGCAAGGGGAGCGGCAGACGGGAGAGUAACACGUGGGAACAUACCUUUUGGUUCGGAACAACUGAGGGAAACUUCAGCUAAUACCGGAUAAGCCCUUACGGGGAAAGAUUUAUCGCCGAAAGAUUGGCCCGCGUCUGAUUAGCUAGUUGGUGAGGUAACGGCUCACCAAGGCGACGAUCAGUAGCUGGUCUGAGAGGAUGAUCAGCCUCACUGGGACUGAGACACGGCCCAGACUCCUACGGGAGGCAGCAGUGGGGAAUAUUGGACAAUGGGGGCAACCCUGAUCCAGCCAUGCCGCGUGAGUGAUGAAGGCCUUAGGGUUGUAAAGCUCUUUUGCCCGGGAAGAUAAUGACGGUACCGGGAGAAUAAGCCCCGGCUAACUUCGUGCCAGCAGCCGCGGUAAUACGAAGGGGGCUAGCGUUGCUCGGAAUCACUGGGCGUAAAGCGCACGUAGGCGGAUCUUUAAGUCAGGGGUGAAAUCCCGGAGCUCAACUCCGGAACUGCCUUUGAUACUGGGGAUCUUGAGUUCGAGAGAGGUGAGUGGAACUGCGAGUGUAGAGGUGAAAUUCGUAGAUAUUCGCAAGAACACCAGUGGCGAAGGCGGCUCACUGGCUCGAUACUGACGCUGAGGUGCGAAAGCGUGGGGAGCAAACAGGAUUAGAUACCCUAGUAGUCC